Long non-coding RNA from Sarcophilus harrisii (Tasmanian devil), 1603 nucleotides. RefSeq lists it as uncharacterized. The record is from RefSeq and is a predicted model, not a curated record. The transcript is spliced from 2 exons. NCBI's taxonomy places the organism in Eukaryota, Metazoa, Chordata, Mammalia, Dasyuromorphia, Dasyuridae.
CAGCAGGGUCUGUGAACUUCCAUGGAAAAAAUCCCAAACAUAUUUUUAUUUCAAAAUAUUUUAUAAUCCUGUGAUUUUAUUUUAUGCAUUUAAGAAUAUAAUUCUGAGACAAAGUCCAUUGAUUCCUCCAUAUUGCCAAAGGGGUCUCUGACAACCAAAAAGAUUUAAGAAUUUCUGAUCUAGAUGAAUUCAGGAAUAAACUGUAGUAUAAAGCUUUAAACAUUAGGAAAAGACCCUUCCGUGAGUAUUAGAAAUGAAUUUAUGUACCUAUAUUCUCUGCUGAAGUCUUCCCAUAUUCCUUAGGAUCAGAGAUUUAGAGCUAGAAGGGGCUUUAGAAACUAUGUAGUCUAAUAUUCUCUUUUUACAGAUUAAUUAACUGCAGCUAGAAAGAUCUGGUGUGUGAGCCAAGGCCCCAUGGCUAACAAGUCCCUAGCAGAGUCAGCACUGAAAUAAGGUCCAGACUCUAAAUCCAGCCCUUCACCAUUGCACCCCACUGCCUGGUAGUAAGGUCAUCUGGGUUCUAGACUUCUGUGCCAUCACAAACAAGCUGGUAACAGACUACAUGCUUGUUGUUAGAGGACUGGCUUAGAUACAUUCCCAGAGUCUCAGUACCAGGUUGCCUGCAGGAUGAUGAAGUUUUCAACCAGAACAACUCUCAAGACCAUCUUCAAAAUUGGGGGUGGGAUGCAACCUGCAACAGUGGAAAAUGGGCCCACUCCGAUGAAAUCAGGGAACUGUAACUGCUGGGAGUCUGUAUAGAACUUCAGAAAGAAAGAGAAAAUGAAACUCUCUCCAGAUCACUUUGCUGGGACCUGGAGUGAAUGAAAACUCUAUCCAACAUUCUCUGUCCUCAAAAACACUUCCUCUUGGCUUCCAAAUAGGGCAUGUCAGAUGUGGAGGUAGCUUGUAGAGGAGUAUAUAUGAUAUUUACAUACAGACUCCCAUAACCUGAGGUACCAUAUUCUUUCCCUCUGAGCAAGAGAAGUGCUUUUUAAUAAGGCAGUGGGCUGACAGCCAGCAAAUCGCUUUGCUCCAAACUGGCAAAUGCCCCCAGCUUGCUGAUCCUCCCUAACCAACAAUGCUAUCUCUGCUCCCAAAUGAUGCUUUGAUUUCUCCCCCAAGCAAAUGCAGUCUCCCACCCCCUCUUCUCCCCAAAGCAAAAAACCAGAGCACAGGCCUCCUGGCUGGGCUGGCAUAGCAUGAGAUCAGCUCUUUGGCUCUCCUUUCAGGCAUCAUCAGAUCACAAUGCAAUUGGCUCGGGACAAAUGGGAUUCCUCGCCUGUAGGUCAUUUGAGGACAGGCUUCUCUCAAGGCUGCCACUAGUGAACUGUCUCCAAUAAAGCCACCAGACCCUAGUCCUUACAGCCGCCAAACAAGGCAGAGACUGGCUCCUGCAUGGUUGAGAGCUGUCUAAGGAGAAACAGAUGCUGAAAGACCACUGCUCUAACACUCCAUGGAAUUAUGAGCUGUUCUGAGCAUAUGGUGUUGCGUCAGUCCCUCCCCACCAAUGUUCCAGUUCUACUCCCAGGAAUCUUGAGAGCCAAGCUUUUAAUUCUGCAACCUCCAUACCCUGACUGCAUCCAUCUCACAAUAGAGACAAUGA